Molecule: ribosomal RNA, 510 nt
Filed under: Salmonella enterica subsp. enterica serovar Infantis
Lineage: Bacteria; Pseudomonadati; Pseudomonadota; Gammaproteobacteria; Enterobacterales; Enterobacteriaceae
Also listed under: 1 other name
Description: bacterial SSU rRNA
Rfam family: Bacterial small subunit ribosomal RNA
Source: RNAcentral
AAAUUGAAGAGUUUGAUCAUGGCUCAGAUUGAACGCUGGCGGCAGGCCUAACACAUGCAAGUCGAACGGUAGCACAGAGAGCUUGCUCUCGGGUGACGAGUGGCGGACGGGUGAGUAAUGUCUGGGAAACUGCCUGAUGGAGGGGGAUAACUACUGGAAACGGUGGCUAAUACCGCAUAACGUCGCAAGACCAAAGAGGGGGACCUUCGGGCCUCUUGCCAUCAGAUGUGCCCAGAUGGGAUUAGCUUGUUGGUGAGGUAACGGCUCACCAAGGCGACGAUCCCUAGCUGGUCUGAGAGGAUGACCAGCCACACUGGAACUGAGACACGGUCCAGACUCCUACGGGAGGCAGCAGUGGGGAAUAUUGCACAAUGGGCGCAAGCCUGAUGCAGCCAUGCCGCGUGUAUGAAGAAGGCCUUCGGGUUGUAAAGUACUUUCAGCGGGGAGGAAGGUGUUGUGGUUAAUAACCGCAGCAAUUGACGUUACCCGCAGAAGAAGCACCGGCUAACU